Molecule: ribosomal RNA, 446 nt
Filed under: uncultured bacterium
Lineage: Bacteria
Description: bacterial SSU rRNA
Rfam family: Bacterial small subunit ribosomal RNA
Source: RNAcentral
GCCAGACUCCUACGGGAGGCAGCAGUGGGGAAUAUUGCACAAUGGGGGGAACCCUGAUGCAGCGACGCCGCGUGAGUGAAGAAGUAUUUCGGUAUGUAAAGCUCUAUCAGCAGGGAAGAAAAUGACGGUACCUGACUAAGAAGCCCCGGCUAACUACGUGCCAGCAGCCGCGGUAAUACGUAGGGGGCAAGCGUUAUCCGGAUUUACUGGGUGUAAAGGGAGCGUAGACGGCAGAGCAAGUCUGAAGUGAAAGCCCGGGGCCCAAAUGCGGGACUGGUUUGGAAACUGCCCGGCUAGAGUGCUGGAGAGGUAAGCGGAAUUCCUAGUGUAGCGGUGAAAUGCGUAGAUAUUAGGAGGAACACCAGCGGCGAAGGCGGCUUACUGGACAGUAACUGACGUUGAGGCUCGAAAGCGUGGGGAGCAAACAGGAUUAGAUACCCCUGUAA